Molecule: ribosomal RNA, 498 nt
Filed under: uncultured archaeon
Lineage: Archaea
Description: bacterial SSU rRNA
Rfam family: Archaeal small subunit ribosomal RNA
Source: RNAcentral
CUCAGUAACACGUGGAUAACCUGCCCUUAGGACUGGCAUAACCCCGGGAAACUGGGGAUAAUUCCGGAUAGUUCAUGGUAGCUGGAAUGCUCCAUGAUCGAAAGCUAUUGCGCCUAAGGAUGGGUCUGCGGUCUAUCAGGUAGUAGUGGGUGUAAUGUACCUACUAGCCGACGACGGAUACGGGUUGUGGGAGCAAGAGCCCGGAGAUGGAUUCUGAGACAUGAAUCCAGGCCCUACGGGGCGCAGCAGGCGCGAAAACUUUACAAUGCGGGAAACCGCGAUAAGGGGACACCGAGUGCCAGCAUCUUAUGUUGGCUGUCCGCAUGUAUAAAUCACAUGUGUUAGCAAGGGCCGGGCAAGACCGGUGCCAGCCGCCGCGGUAACACCGGCGGCCCGAGUGGUGGCCACUAUUAUUGGGUCUAAAGGGUCCGUAGCCGGUUUGGUCAGUCUUCCGGGAAAUCUGACGGCUUAACCGUUAGGCUUUCGGGGGAUACUACC